UUGAUCCUGCCAGUAUUAUACGCUCGUCUCAAAGAUUAAGCCAUGCAAGUACAAGUCCUGAACUGAAUGUAGUGAAACCGCGAAUGGCUCAUUACAACAGACUUUGUUUAAAAGUGGCUACUAAUAUUUGGAUAACUCUUGCAACUCUAGAGCUAAUACAUGCACCUAAGCCUGUCGCCUCGUGCUCGGGCGCAGUUACUAGAAUACUCCUGUUGCUAAUCCAAUUAGAAAGCCUUUUUGAAUCUGAGUAACUUUUUUCAGUGGAGCGGCCAAUUGUUGGUGCCAUCACUUCUAAGUGUCUGCCUCAUCAGCUUUAAACCGUAGUGUAUACGACUACGAUGGCUGUGACGGGUAACGGGGAAUCAGGGUUCGAUUCCGGAGAGGGAGCCUGAGAGACGGCUACCACGUCUAUGGACGGCAGCAGGCACGCAAAUUACCCACUCUUAGUUCGGGGAAGUAGUGACAAGUUGUACUGGUGUAGUCUUUUAUUGGACUGCAUCGGAUUGAGACGCACUCGAACCUGGUGUCGAGCGAGAGGAGGGCAAGUCUGGUGCCAGCAGCCGCGGUAAUACCAGCUCCUCGAGUGUAUAUUAUAUGUGUUGCGGUUAAAAAGUUCGUAACUAAAACGUGGUGGCGUUACUAUACGGUACUCUUCUUAUCCACCAGAACUGACCGUUUGUAAGUGUGGGUUUUCGCCGUCUUUGGAUCGGCGUGGCCGCAGCGGUCAGGGUAAUUUUGACAAAAUUUGAGUGGUCAAAGCUGGCUUCAGCGCCUCUAUCGUUAUAGCAGGAUCAUUGUAAUGAUUCUUCCGUGUCACUUUGUUGGACGGUUGACACGAAGGCAUAACUAAUAUAGGUGGACGGGGGCAUCCGUACUGUCGGGCGAGCGGUGAAAUGUGUUGACCCUGACAAGACGAUCAAAAGCGAAAGCAGAUGUCCAGAACACUCUCAUUAGUUAAGAACGAAAGUCAGAGGUUCGAAGGCGAUUAGAUACCGCCGUAGUUCUGACCGUAAACUGUGUCUACCAGCAAUCCAGUGUGAGAUCCAACCCGAAAUUAAUCGGGUUAAUCGUCUCUACUGGGCGACUCACGGAAACCACAGUGUGGGACUCCGGGGGAAGUAUGGUUGCAAAGCUGAAACUUAAAGGAAUUGACGGAAAGGAACCACCAGGAGUGGAGCCUGCGGCUUAAUUCGACUCAACACGGGUAAACUUACCAGGGCCAGACUCUAAUGGGACUGACAGAAUAAAGCUCACAUCUCUCAUGAUACUAGCGGGUGGUGGUGCAUGGCCGUUCAUAGUUGGUGGAGUGAUUUGUCUGGUUAAUUCCGAUAACGAGCAAGAUUCUCACCUAUUAAGUAAAAAGCCGAUUUCAGUCGGUAACAUGGUCGCCCCGUGCGGUUGUGUUGGCUUCUUAGAGGAAUGUGCAAGGGCUAAAGCUAAUACAUUGAGUACAGCCCCGAGAGAGAGAGCAAUAACAGGUCUGUGAUGCCCUUAGAUGUCCUGGGCCGCACGCGUGCUACAUUGUGGUACAGAACGUGCUGUUUACCGUUAAACCUGCCCAGUAAUGGGUGGGUAAUCAUAUGAAUGUACAAUACAAGACUGGGACAGAGCUAUUCAUUUACGCUCUCGAACGAGGAAUUCCUCGUAUGCCCACAUCACUACUGUGGGCAGAAUAAGUCCCUUCCUUUUGUACACACCGCCCGUCGCUACUACCGAUGGAUGUUCGGGUGAGGACGUUGGACUGCGAUCCUGGAGUGGGGACCUCGUGUUCACUCUCCACCGCACAAGACGGUACCAAGCUCGGGUAUUCAGAGGAAGUAAAAGUCGUAACAAGGUUUUCGUAGGUGAACCUGCAGAUGGAUCA
This 1864-nucleotide ribosomal RNA is filed under the name Mysidium columbiae. RNAcentral describes it as "bacterial SSU rRNA". It matches the Rfam family "Eukaryotic small subunit ribosomal RNA". The record is from RNAcentral. Lineage: Eukaryota; Metazoa; Arthropoda; Malacostraca; Mysida; Mysidae.